AUUGAACGCUGGCGGAAUGCUUUACACAUGCAAGUCGAACGGCAGCACGGGGGCAACCCUGGUGGCGAGUGGCGAACGGGUAAGUAAUACAUCGGAACGUGCCCGGUCGGGGGGGAUAACGUAGCGAAAGUUACGCUAAUACCGCAUACGAUCUGAGGAUGAAAGCGGGGGACCGUCGGGCCUCGCGCGAUCGGAGCGGCCGAUGUCAGAUUAGGUAGUUGGUGGGGUAAAGGCCUACCAAGCCGACGAUCUGUAGCUGGCCGGAGAGGACGACAAGCCACACUGGGACUGAGACACGGCCCAGACUCCUACGGGAGGCAGCAGUGGGGAAUUUUGGACAAUGGGCGCAAGCCUGAUCCAGCCAUCCCGCGUGCAGGACGAAGGCCUUCGGGUUGUAAACUGCUUUUGUAUGGAACGAAAAGGUUCUGGCUAAUACCUGGGGUUCAUGACGGUACCGUAAGAAUAAGCACCGGCUAACUACGUG
Molecule: ribosomal RNA, 484 nt
Filed under: uncultured bacterium
Lineage: Bacteria
Description: partial 16S ribosomal RNA
Rfam family: Bacterial small subunit ribosomal RNA
Source: RNAcentral